This 1100-nucleotide ribosomal RNA is filed under the name uncultured bacterium. Its description in RNAcentral is "bacterial SSU rRNA". It matches the Rfam family "Bacterial small subunit ribosomal RNA", at positions 170 to 1275 of the family's 1533-position model. The record is from RNAcentral.
CCCAUGUCUGAAUCCUACCGCAUGAUGGGAUUAAUAAAUAAUUUUCGUCUGGGACGGGGAUGCGUUCCUCUACUGAAUUGGCGGGGUAAUGGCCCACCAAAACUACGAUGGAUAGGGGUUCUGAGAUGCACGUCCCCCGCAUUGUAACUGAGACUCGGUCCAAACUCCUACAGGAGGCAGCAGUGAGGAAUAUUGCUCAUUGGACGAAAGUCUGAACCAUCCAAGUAUCGUGAAGGAUGACUGCCCUAUGGGUUGUAGACUUCCUUUAUAUGGGAAUAAAAUGUUCCACGCGUGGGAUAAAAAAAAAACCUUUUGUAUAAGGAUGGGGGGACAAAAAACCAGCAGCCGCGGUAAUACGGAGGAUCCGAGCGUUAUCCGGAUUUAUUGGGUUUAAAGGGAGCGUAGGUGGAUUGUUAAGUCAGUUGUGAAAGUUUGCGGCUCAACGGUAAAAUUGCAGUUGAAACUGGCAGUCUUGAGUACAGUAGAGGUGGGCGGAAUUCGUGGUGUAGCGGUGAAAUGCUGAGAUAUCACGAAGAAUUCCGAUUGUGAAGGCAGCUCAUUGGAUUGCAACUGACAUUGAGGCUGGAAAGUGUGGGUAUCAAACAGGAUUAGAUACCGUGGUAGUCCACACAGUAAACGAUGAAUACUGGUUGUUUGUGAGAUACAGUAAGCGGCCAAGAGAAAGCAUUAAGUAUUCCACCUGGGGAGUACGCCGGCAACGGUGAAAGUCAAAGGAAUUGACGGGGGCCCGCACAAGCGGAGGAACAUGUGGUUUAAUUGGAUGAUACGCGAGGAACCUUAUCCGGGCUUAAAUGGCACCGGAAUAAUGUGGAAACAUGUUAGCUGUAAGGCAGGCCUGAAGGUGCUGCAUGGUGGUUGUCAGCUGGUGCUGUGAGGUGUCGGCGCAAUCGCCCUAACGAGGGCAACCCUUAUUUUUAGUUAUUAACGGGUUAUGCCGAGGAAUCUGGAGAGACUGCCGUGGUAACAUGCGAGGAAGGUGGGGAUGACGUGAAAUCAGCACGGCCUUUAUGUCGGGGGGUACACAUGUGUUACAAUGGGAGGUACAGUAGGCCGGUACGUGGCGACAGGAUGCCAAUCCC